Molecule: ribosomal RNA, 253 nt
Filed under: uncultured bacterium
Lineage: Bacteria
Description: partial 16S ribosomal RNA
Rfam family: Bacterial small subunit ribosomal RNA
Source: RNAcentral
AACGUAGGUGGCGAGCGUUAUCCGGAUUUACUGGGCGUAAAGCGUGUGCAGACGGGGCGAUAAGUGGUGUAUGAAAGGUUUCGGCUUAACCGAGAUAUGUUAUGCCAGACUGUCGGCCUAGAGUGUGAGAGAGGGACGUGGAAUUCCGGGUGUAGUGGUGAAAUGCGUAGAGAUCCGGAGGAACCCCAGAGGCGAAGGCGGCGUCCUGGCUCACAACUGACGUUCAGACACGACAGCAUGGGGAGCGAACGGG